This 394-nucleotide ribosomal RNA is filed under the name uncultured Gammaproteobacteria bacterium. RNAcentral describes it as "bacterial SSU rRNA". It matches the Rfam family "Bacterial small subunit ribosomal RNA", at positions 370 to 779 of the family's 1533-position model. Lineage: Bacteria; Pseudomonadati; Pseudomonadota; Gammaproteobacteria. The record is from RNAcentral.
AAUGGGCGGAAGCCUGACGGAGCAACGCCGCGUGAGGGAUGAAGGCCUCUGGGCUGUAAACCUCUUUUAUCAAGGAAGAAGAUCUGACGGUACUUGAUGAAUAAGCCACGGCUAAUUCCGUGCCAGCAGCCGCGGUAAUACGGGAGUGGCAAGCGUUAUCCGGAAUUAUUGGGCGUAAAGCGUCCGCAGGCGGCCCUUCAAGUCUGCUGUUAAAAAGUGGAGCUUAACUCCAUCAUGGCAGUGGAAACUGUUGGGCCUGAGUGUGGUAGGGGCAGAGGGAAUUCCCGGUGUAGCGGUGAAAUGCGUAGAUAUCGGGAAGAACACCAGUGGCGAAGGCGCUCUGCUGGGCCAUCACUGACGCUCAUGGACGAAAGCCAGGGGAGCGAAAGGGAUU